UUCAGAUCUUCUGGAAUCUAAAUCUGCAGAGAUCCAGUAGCCCUUAGCUUGCUGAAGCCCCUUAGCUUGCAGAUUAGGAGGUGUGUUUAGUCUGGCAAAUAUCAUCAAAGACAGUGAUGUGGGAAAGAGAAACAACUAGAGUUGCACUUGAAAAUUAUUCUAAAUAUAUAGGGGAAAGAACCCAGCAGUGUGUUCUCUGUGGUUAAAAUUAAAAAAGAACAGGAUGCCAUGAAAAUAGGAACUGACUGUAUGGUCCUCCUGGGAAAAACAGGCUCUGAUGGAAGGACAGGAGGAUUUGAAAUUGUGUCUGGACACUAGAGCAGUGUGACUGCACAGGUUGUUUGCAGGAGCUGCAGUGGGUGCUGACAGCUGGGAAGGGCUCCGAGUUACACAGUGGUUUCAGUGCCCACGGAGACAGACUGCACCUUGGGUUAUUCCAGACACAGCUGGGUAUGCAAGUCUAGGACAUGGCAUUUAGGAAAGACAUCAGAUAUACUGAGAGAGCUACAUGAGGGUGCAGGUUUGCUCCAUCACAUGAGAGAUGUCUGGGAUCCAAGACCUUUGCUCACAGCUCUGUUGCACUGUUUUUCUUCUGAGGUGCUGACCAUCAUCUCAGCAGCUAAGAGUUGCACCUGUUUUCAUGGCAACAAGGUUAUGCUAAAGUGUAUCUUUAAAAAGAAACUAAGUACAUCCAGCACAUUCAAGUAGAAGAGUACUUGCUUCACUGGAAAAUAAAUGCUGCUGCAGGAAAGUUUGCCUAUUUGUC
This 766-nucleotide long non-coding RNA is filed under the name Cyanistes caeruleus (blue tit). RNAcentral describes it as "lncRNA (ENSCCEG00000005698.1)". Lineage: Eukaryota; Metazoa; Chordata; Aves; Passeriformes; Paridae. The record is from RNAcentral.